Molecule: ribosomal RNA, 417 nt
Filed under: uncultured bacterium
Lineage: Bacteria
Description: bacterial SSU rRNA
Rfam family: Bacterial small subunit ribosomal RNA
Source: RNAcentral
GGCCAGCAGCCGCGGUAAUACGGGGGGGGCAAGCGUUGUUCGGAAUUACUGGGCGUAAAGGGCUCGUAGGCGGCCAACUAAGUCAUACGUGAAAUCCCUCGGCUUAACCGGGGAACUGCGUCUGAUACUGGAUGGCUUGAGUUCGGGAGAGGGAUGCGGAAUUCCAGGUGUAGCGGUGAAAUGCGUAGAUAUCUGGAGGAACACCGGUGGCGAAGGCGGCAUCCUGGACCGAUACUGACGCUGAGGAGCGAAAGCCAGGGGAGCAAACGGGAUUAGAUACCCCGGUAGUCCUGGCCCUAAACGAUGAAUGCUUGGUGUGGCGGGUAUCGAUCCCUGCCGUGCCGAAGCUAACGCAUUAAGCAUUCCGCCUGGGGAGUACGGUCGCAAGGCUGAAACUUAAAGGAAUUGGCGGGGGAC